Long non-coding RNA from Mercenaria mercenaria, 454 nucleotides. RefSeq lists it as uncharacterized. The transcript has 2 exons. NCBI's taxonomy places the organism in Eukaryota, Metazoa, Mollusca, Bivalvia, Venerida, Veneridae. The record is from RefSeq and is a predicted model, not a curated record.
ACUUUAGUUGAACUUUGUGGAAACUCGAUAUAUAUAUUUAUUGACGGUCGUAUGCCGUACCGAGAUAUGUUAGACUGGUCAGUCAAGUGUAUUCACAAAGUUUUCGUGCUUUAUGGAUUUAUAAAAUGUUUUUCAUUCGACGGUCUGAACAGUUAUGGUGAUUUUCUGUUGCCAUGGGAAUUGAAGUAUGUUCGGGUACGAAAGACGGGAGACAUGCAAAGUGUGGUUGUGAUUUAUAUACUAUAUAGUGAGUGGGAAUAGUGGUUCAGGACUAUUCGCGUGAUACCAUUAUUGUUCACGUGCUAUUUUUUUUUUCUUUUCUUAUAUGUUAAGAGACAGUGGAGCCAUCGUUUCAUUAUGGCAAUUUUUGUUGUUUUGUUGAACCAUUAUUCGUGUGUUAUUUUUGAAUGUGCGAAAAUGGAAUAAAUACAUCUACCUGUUUGUACCAAUCCUA